AAGGUGCUCAGCCUCAUCUAGUUUUCUUAUACCGGUGCAUUUAAUCUUUCUUUCAAUCUUUUCAUUGGUGGUUUCUUUAAGUGGGCCCAUAACCCACAGGUUUUUCCCAGGAUCUUAUAUGUCUCUUCUAAUUUUUCCGGAGAUCUCUAAAUCUUUUCAAAUAUGACAUAAGAAUGAUUUCCAUCAGUCAUAUCCCUUCUCCUAGAUCAAGUUGAAUUGUUUCUCGUCUUUGGCUCAACCUUUCAUUCUUCAUUAUUCCAGAGUGUCUCAUUAUUCCUGGUAUUGUUUCUCGUCAUCAUUUUCAGCUUGGAAGACUGAAGGAGCGUUUCUCUCAAAUCUUGGUCCAUUCUCUUGGAGAUUCGUCAUUUCAGCUUGGUGCCAUCAUCUUAAUUGUUCCCGAUCAUGAGUGAUUCUUUUCUUGCUAUCCGGUGCAUUUCUGAGUUGUUUUCAGUUCCCGAUCCUCCGAAGGCCAUCAUUUCAAAAGAAUCUUCGUUCUCAGCUUUCAGCUUUCAUCCUCAAUUCUUCUCAAUUGUUGUCUCUUCGUUUGUCUCUCGAUUAUCCGGUGCCUUGUUCAAG
This 576-nucleotide long non-coding RNA is filed under the name Hordeum vulgare. RNAcentral's name for it is "long non-coding RNA (HVUL_LNC003552)". The record is from RNAcentral. Lineage: Eukaryota; Viridiplantae; Streptophyta; Magnoliopsida; Poales; Poaceae.